RNAcentral lists this ribosomal RNA (1572 nucleotides) under Ligilactobacillus agilis. Its description in RNAcentral is "bacterial SSU rRNA". It matches the Rfam family "Bacterial small subunit ribosomal RNA". The record is from RNAcentral. Lineage: Bacteria; Bacillati; Bacillota; Bacilli; Lactobacillales; Lactobacillaceae.
CUAAAAUGAGAGUUUGAUCCUGGCUCAGGACGAACGCUGGCGGCGUGCCUAAUACAUGCAAGUCGAACGCUUUUUUCAAUCAUCGUAGCUUGCUACACCGAUUGAAAAUUGAGUGGCGGACGGGUGAGUAACACGUGGGUAACCUGCCCAAAAGAGGGGGAUAACACUUGGAAACAGGUGCUAAUACCGCAUAACCAUGAUGACCGCAUGGUCAUUAUGUAAAAGAUGGUUUCGGCUAUCACUUUUGGAUGGACCCGCGGCGUAUUAACUUGUUGGUGGGGUAACGGCCUACCAAGGUGAUGAUACGUAGCCGAACUGAGAGGUUGAUCGGCCACAUUGGGACUGAGACACGGCCCAAACUCCUACGGGAGGCAGCAGUAGGGAAUCUUCCACAAUGGGCGCAAGCCUGAUGGAGCAACGCCGCGUGAGUGAAGAAGGUCUUCGGAUCGUAAAACUCUGUUGUUAGAGAAGAACAUGCAGGAGAGUAACUGUUCUUGUAUUGACGGUAUCUAACCAGAAAGCCACGGCUAACUACGUGCCAGCAGCCGCGGUAAUACGUAGGUGGCAAGCGUUGUCCGGAUUUAUUGGGCGUAAAGGGAACGCAGGCGGUCCUUUAAGUCUGAUGUGAAAGCCUUCGGCUUAACCGAAGAAUUGCAUUGGAAACUGGAGGACUUGAGUGCAGAAGAGGAGAGUGGAACUCCAUGUGUAGCGGUGAAAUGCGUAGAUAUAUGGAAGAACACCAGUGGCGAAAGCGGCUCUCUGGUCUGUAACUGACGCUGAGGUUCGAAAGUGUGGGUAGCAAACAGGAUUAGAUACCCUGGUAGUCCACACCGUAAACGAUGAAUGCUAAGUGUUGGAGGGUUUCCGCCCUUCAGUGCUGCAGCUAACGCAAUAAGCAUUCCGCCUGGGGAGUACGACCGCAAGGUUGAAACUCAAAGGAAUUGACGGGGGCCCGCACAAGCGGUGGAGCAUGUGGUUUAAUUCGAAGCAACGCGAAGAACCUUACCAGGUCUUGACAUCUUUUGACCAUCUUAGAGAUAAGAUUUUCCCUUCGGGGACAAAAUGACAGGUGGUGCAUGGCUGUCGUCAGCUCGUGUCGUGAGAUGUUGGGUUAAGUCCCGCAACGAGCGCAACCCUUGUUGUCAGUUGCCAGCAUUAAGUUGGGCACUCUGGCGAGACUGCCGGUGACAAACCGGAGGAAGGUGGGGACGACGUCAAGUCAUCAUGCCCCUUAUGACCUGGGCUACACACGUGCUACAAUGGACGGUACAACGAGUCGCAAACUCGCGAGGGCAAGCUAAUCUCUUAAAGCCGUUCUCAGUUCGGAUUGUAGGCUGCAACUCGCCUACAUGAAGUCGGAAUCGCUAGUAAUCGCGAAUCAGCAUGUCGCGGUGAAUACGUUCCCGGGCCUUGUACACACCGCCCGUCACACCAUGAGAGUUUGUAACACCCAAAGCCGGUGGGGUAACCUUUUAGGAGCUAGCCGUCUAAGGUGGGACAGAUGAUUGGGGUGAAGUCGUAACAAGGUAGCCGUAGGAGAACCUGCGGCUGGAUCACCUCCUUUCUAAGGAA